UACAGAGGGUGCGAGCGUUAAUCGGAAUUACUGGGCGUAAAGCGCGCGUAGGCGGCUUUGCAAGUCGGGUGUGAAAUCCCCAGGCUUAACCUGGGAACUGCAUUCGAGACUGCAUUGCUAGAGUAUGGGAGAGGGAAGUGGAAUUUCCGGUGUAGCGGUGAAAUGCGUAGAUAUCAGGAGGAACACCGGUGGCGAAGGCGGCAUCCUGGACCGGCAUUGACGCUGAGGCGCGAAAGCCAGGGGAGCAAACGGG
Molecule: ribosomal RNA, 253 nt
Filed under: uncultured bacterium
Lineage: Bacteria
Description: partial 16S ribosomal RNA
Rfam family: Bacterial small subunit ribosomal RNA
Source: RNAcentral